AGGACUAUAGUUAACAAUAACAUCUGGGUUGCAUUCAGAAAGUACCUUAAGGUUAGUCUUA
RNAcentral lists this transfer RNA (61 nucleotides) under Parajapyx emeryanus. RNAcentral's name for it is "tRNA-Ala". The record is from RNAcentral. Lineage: Eukaryota; Metazoa; Arthropoda; Diplura; Dicellurata; Parajapygidae.